RNAcentral lists this ribosomal RNA (914 nucleotides) under uncultured marine archaeon. RNAcentral's name for it is "bacterial SSU rRNA". It matches the Rfam family "Archaeal small subunit ribosomal RNA", at positions 1 to 922 of the family's 1478-position model. The record is from RNAcentral.
UUCCGGUUGAUCCCGCCGGACCUGACUGCUAUCGGAUUGAUACUAAGCCAUGCGAGUCUUUGCAGUAAUGCAAGGCGGACUGCUCAGUAACACGUAGUCAACUUAACCUAUGGAUGGGUAUAACCUCGGGAAACUGAGAAUAAUUCCCAAUAGAUCAUUUAUCCUGGAAUGGUUGAUGAUUGAAAUGAUUCGUCGCCAUAGGAUGGGACUGCGGCCUAUCAGCUUGUUGGUGAGGUAAAGGCCCACCAAGGCUAUUACAGGUACGGGCUCUGAGAGGAGAAGCCCGGAGAUGGGUACUGAGACACGGACCCAGGCCCUAUGGGGCGCAGCAGGCGAGAAAACUUUGCAAUGUGCGAAAGCACGACAAGGUUAAUCCGAGUGAUUUCUGCUAAAGAAAUCUUUUGCCAGUUCUAAAAAUACUGGUGAAUAAGGGGUGGGCAAGUUCUGGUGUCAGCCGCCGCGGUAAAACCAGCACCUCAAGUUGUCAGGAGGAUUAUUGGGCCUAAAGCAUCCGUAGCCGGCUCUGUUAGUUUUCGGUUAAAUCCAUAUGCUCAACAUAUGGGCUGUCGGAAAUACUGCAGAGCUAGGGAAUGGGAGAGGUAGACGGUACUCGGUAGGAAGGGGUAAAAUCCUUUGAUCUAUCGAUGACCACCUGUGGCGAAGGCGGUCUACCAGAACAUGUUCGACGGUGAGGGAUGAAAGCUGGGGGAGCAAACCGGAUUAGAUACCCGGGUAGUCCCAGCUGUAAACGAUGCAGACUAGAUGAUGCAUUAGCAUAUAGCUAGUGCAGUGUCUCAGGGAAGCCGUUAAGUCUGCCGCCUGGGAAGUACGUACGCAAGUAUGAAACUUAAAGGAAUUGGCGGGGGAGCACCACAAGGGGUGAAGCCUGCGGUUCAAUUGGAUUCAACGCCGGG